UCAUAAACUUAGACCCUUCAAUCUUUCAAAAAUUGCCAAGUCUAAGAUUACUGAAUCUAUCGUCAAGAUUUUCUAAUAUUCAAUUUCUAUUGCCUGACUUUUCCUGGUGAGCUUAGAUACUUGGAAUGGUAUGAAUACCCUUUGCAAUCCUUAGGCUCAAAUUCUAUACCACACAGUCUUGUUUAUCUUUAAAGGAACUGUGGAAAGAAAAUCAAGUAAGUGAAAUAACUAUAUGCUUUAUUCAUUAAAUAUUAUAAAUUUGAUACAUUGUUAAUUUUAAUUGAUAUAUUAUUCUUUUAUUUAUAUCAAAUACAUAUAUAAUUAUAUAUAUUUGAUGUAUUGUUUCAUGUCUUAAUUAAUAUAAUUAAUUAACUACAUUUUGUCUAUAUAAGGAGGAUGUUAGCAACUUAAAAUAGCUUACUUGUCUCCCAAAUCUUUCUCAAGCGAAUCUUCACAUGCUUCGUCUAGAUGGUUGUACAAGUUUAGUUAAUCUUCCCCCGUUAAGAUUUCACAACAUUUUUGAUGAUCCAGAUAAAGAAUCUCAAGUGAUGUACCAAUAUAAUUCUUUGAUGGAUCAUUUUAUAAAAUUUAUAUGUUUAAGUGAAACAGCAAUCAAGAAAUGGCACCCAUCUAUUAUCUCUCUAAAAAAAUCUUCUUCUACUUGAUCUUCAUAUGUGUGAACAUCUAAGGGAACUUCCCAAUGAUAUGUGUGAGUUAGAAUCAUUGGAAUACUUAUACAUGAAUAAUUGCAAGAAACUUGAAAGCCUCCCAACUACUAUUUGUAAGUUGAAGUCUCUUCGAGUACUUCAACUUGAAGGUUGCUCGCGAUUGAAUCUAAAGAGACUUUAUUUAACAUGCACGGGGAUUGAAGAGAUGCCAUCAUCAAUAGAGAAUCUAGUUGUGCUUGAAAGGCUAUACUUGAGUGGGUGUAAGAAUCUCAAGUCUAUUCCAACCACCAUCUUCAACAUGUGCAACAUUUCCAGUAUGGUGAUUGAUGAAUACCCAAAAUUCCAAAUUCUGCUAUAUAAUGGUUUGCCCUGUUUGCUAGUAAAAGACUCAAGUGAAACCACUUAUAAUCGACUACUACUAACAAAUGAUCAACCGUAUAUGUGCAGAAGUAGUUGUACUUGUAAGUUACAACAAGUUCAUUGUCAAAUGUGGGGAUGGGGAUAGAAAAGUAAAGGAUUUGAGUAGACCAAGUUUUUGUUAUCCAGGAGAUACAAUUACUCAAUGGUUUGCUCAUCAAUCUAUGGGAUCAUCACUUGAACUAAACUUACCUUUUUCCUCUUCAAAAGAUCUUCGCAACUUUUUAGGGUUUGCUUUAUGC
Long non-coding RNA from Cannabis sativa, 1327 nucleotides. RefSeq lists it as uncharacterized. Lineage: Eukaryota; Viridiplantae; Streptophyta; Magnoliopsida; Rosales; Cannabaceae. The record is from RefSeq and is a predicted model, not a curated record. The transcript is spliced from 2 exons.